Molecule: transfer RNA, 77 nt
Filed under: Marinomonas transparens
Lineage: Bacteria; Pseudomonadati; Pseudomonadota; Gammaproteobacteria; Oceanospirillales; Oceanospirillaceae
Description: tRNA-Val
Rfam family: tRNA
About the family: Transfer RNA (tRNA) molecules are approximately 80 nucleotides in length. Their secondary structure includes four short double-helical elements and three loops (D, anti-codon, and T loops). Further hydrogen bonds mediate the characteristic L-shaped molecular structure. tRNAs have two regions of fundamental functional importance: the anti-codon, which is responsible for specific mRNA codon recognition, and the 3' end, to which the tRNAs corresponding amino acid is attached (by aminoacyl-tRNA synthetases). tRNAs cope with the degeneracy of the genetic code in two manners: having more than one tRNA (with a specific anti-codon) for a particular amino acid; and 'wobble' base-pairing, i.e. permitting non-standard base-pairing at the 3rd anti-codon position.
Source: RNAcentral
GGAGUGGUAGUUCAGUAGGUUAGAAUAAAUGCCUGUCACGAAGGGGGUCGCGGGUUCGAGUCCCGUCCAUUCCGCCA